This 36-nucleotide ribosomal RNA is filed under the name Laccaria sp. RNAcentral's name for it is "partial 28S ribosomal RNA". The record is from RNAcentral. Lineage: Eukaryota; Fungi; Basidiomycota; Agaricomycetes; Agaricales; Hydnangiaceae.
CAGGUAGGACUACCCGCUGAACUUAAGCAUAUCAUA